GCCAGGUGCGGUAGCGCGUGCCCAUAGUUCCAGCUGUUCAGGAGGCUGAGGCUGGAGGAUCACUUGAGUCCAGGAGUUCUGGGCUGUAGUGUGCUAUGCCCAUUGGGUGUCCACACUAAGUUCAGCAUCAAUAUGGUGACCUCCCGGGAGUGGGGGACCACCAGGUUGCCUAAGGAGGGGUGAACCGGCCCAGGUCAGAAAUGGAUCAGGUCAAAACUCCCGUGCUGAUCAGUAGGGGGAUCACACCUGUGAAUAGCCACUAUACUCCAGCCUGGGCAACAUAGCAAGACCCUGUCUCU
RNAcentral lists this signal recognition particle RNA (299 nucleotides) under Cebus imitator (Panamanian white-faced capuchin). Its description in RNAcentral is "Metazoan signal recognition particle RNA (ENSCCAG00000005084.1)". It matches the Rfam family "Metazoan signal recognition particle RNA". From Rfam's summary of the family: The signal recognition particle (SRP) is a universally conserved ribonucleoprotein. Lineage: Eukaryota; Metazoa; Chordata; Mammalia; Primates; Cebidae. The record is from RNAcentral.